RNAcentral lists this long non-coding RNA (1447 nucleotides) under Felis catus (domestic cat). RNAcentral's name for it is "lncRNA (ENSFCAG00000050260.1)". Lineage: Eukaryota; Metazoa; Chordata; Mammalia; Carnivora; Felidae. The record is from RNAcentral.
AUGAUGCCCACAGAUCGCCUCGGAAACGAUGUCACUGAAAGGAUCUUGGAGGUGACGUGUGAGCUUAAGGAACCCAAACUAGCCUGUGUUCUUAGCAAAUUCUCAGCCUCUCUGGAACCCAGGGAUCACCCCAUCCUGGAUCCUGCACUGCCCAGGCUGCCCCUGUGCCGGCUCCCAGCUGCGUGGGUCUCUGUCCAUCCUCUACUGCCCCAGACUGAAUAUUCUCCCAAAUAACAAAGGUGCCGGGAGCCGCUGUCAUCACCUUCCCUCUGGACUGAGGCUCGUCUGAGCAAAACUGGGACACCGUCACGUUGGUCUAGAGCCCUGCCCCUCCCCUGGUCUCGCCUUCUACACACACGGUCCCCUGCACCCAGUGCCCUCCCUUGGCUAGCAAGCCUCCGGUGACCUCGGGCUCUGCUUCUGCGUGCGUGCUGGCAGCUCGGUGUUAGAAUGAGGCCACACGGCGGAAUUUCAGGUGUCAUUGAGCAGGUGCGAAACGUAUUAUUUGGGACAGGAGAGCUUCUUGAUGCCCUUGACAUCGCAAAAUGAAGUCGCAAGAUCACUCAGUCUGUAUGUACAGACGAUCUUUUUUUUUUGUUUGCGAAUGAGAUACAGCGGUAACGUCUCUCCAAUCUGAAGGCAAAGAUCCAAUCCCCACCUAAUUCUCAAGAGGUCUGCACAGGGCUCGGACAGUGUUCCAGAGACUAUGCCGGGUGCCGGGUGUCCUUCAGCAUUUGCUCGUAGACUCCCCAAACAGCACCGUGCUCUGCGGGUCUCACUCCCCCACUGCUGCCUACCUUUACCGAAUGCCUCGUACGCAGGCGUACUGUGCGAAGUGACUUGUACGCGGGAGCUCGUAAUGCUCACGGGUCUGGGAUACAAGUCACAUUAAUCUUAUUUCACUGAUAAGAAAAGGUUAAGCAACCGGCCGAAAGCCAUCCAUUUUAUUAAAUGGCAGAACUGGGAUUUCAUCCUGGAUCAGAUUGACUCAAAAGGCCAUACCCCUAACGCCUCAUCCUGGUUCAGAGAGGCCCUGCCCUCAUGCACAGCAGUGGCUGCUGGAGACAGCGGCGCGAGGCCGUGGGGCUGGCGGGUCGCUUCAACGCUGCCUGGCUGGGCGUGUGCUGGAGCCAGUUCUACGGCAUCCCCUCCCAAGUCUGCGUGCAGUCCGUGGGUGACUUGACGUGGGCCACAGUAGGGCUAUUCACACCAUAGAAAUUGGCCAAUGCUAGGGGCGCGUGGGUGGCGCAGUUGGUUAAGCGUCCGACUUCAGCCAGGUCACGAUCUCGCGGUCCGGGAGUUCGAGCCCCGCGUCGGGCUCUGGGCUGAUGGCUCAGAGCCUGGAGCCUGUUUCCGAUUCUGUGUCUCCCUCUCUCUCUGCCCCUCCCCCGCUCAUGCUCUGUCUCUCUCUGUCCCAAAAAUAAAUAAACGUUGAAAAAAAAUUAAA